GUCAGCUGUUUUUUAUGCCUUCAUUGUGUUUCCAUAGAAAAGGGUAUAAAAGCUGCUUGGGAAGUAAAGAAGGCAGAGAAAAAGACAAAGAAACAUGAUGGCAGUGGUGGAGAGAAAGGUAAAGAGAGAAGGUCACAGGGAUGGAGAGAGAGAAAGAGAUUUUUCUGCUUGAGAAAGGCAGAAGAUGGCAGCUGAUCUGCAGGGGAUGACAUCCAAGGUCGUCUGACUCUGAAGCCACAGGUCAUCCCUCUCCUUCAGAAUGCAAACAAAAGAGAAAUGUAUGGGGACAACCUCUUCUAUGAGGACACCAACAAGUUUUCAUCAAAUGACAAGAUUACUCAUAAACACUGGUAAGGAAGCUGAGAUCUAUGUUUCCUGACUCUUGCGCCUCUGGUGAAGUCACC
RNAcentral lists this long non-coding RNA (404 nucleotides) under Cavia porcellus (domestic guinea pig). Its description in RNAcentral is "lncRNA (ENSCPOG00000040290.1)". The record is from RNAcentral. Lineage: Eukaryota; Metazoa; Chordata; Mammalia; Rodentia; Caviidae.